This 1681-nucleotide long non-coding RNA is filed under the name Gallus gallus (chicken). The record is from RNAcentral. Lineage: Eukaryota; Metazoa; Chordata; Aves; Galliformes; Phasianidae.
CCAUUCACUUUAGCUCCUCAGCACAUUGCUACUCCACAAUUUUCAAGGUUAACAAGAAAAUGGAGAAUCUUCACUUGGUAGUCUGGACUAUUCCCCUAUGCAUAGGGCAAAAGGCUCUAAAAGGCCUACCGACAUACUAAGCUACAGUGUACCAACGGCUGUAGAGUGUGCUUUAUUUAAACCUCUUAUUUCCCAAAUGCAUUGAAGUUGCCACUGUACAUGUUAAGCAAUAAAGAAAAGUUAGUGAAAAUCAUGCAUUUUAAAACAAAUUAAUUUUAAGCAUUGUUAAUAAGAUUGUGCUGCAGCGAUGAAGUAUCCUGAACUGCAGGCCAGGUAUCCAAAUAUUUGUUACAUGUUGUUCAAAUAUCACUUUGAAGUGGUACUUCCUUAUUACUGUUGUUUGCAUUCAGCAGGUUGGCUGGAAUCUUUCUAGAAAUGUAUGAAUGAUAAACAGACUUAAAUUACACCUUAGGAUCACUUUCUGCAUCUUCCUCCUCUUCUCCCUCCUCUUCCCCCUCCAACUCCUCCUCUUCACCUUCUUCACCUUCUUCAAAAUUAUCAUCAUCCUCUAUAGCUUCCCCUGUGAAAUAGAGCACAGCACGAGGGACUAUCCUUUCACGGAAGAAGUGACCAAUUUCAAAAUCUGCAGCUAAAGUGAACUCUGAAUCUUCAUCCAAUGACUCUCCAUCACCAGAUACCUUUAUUGGAUUGAAGAAGUUAAAAAAAGAAUCAUUAGGUACUUGUUUAGUAAUUGUCCGAACCGUGCCUCGACCCUUGUGUUUCUGUUUUUUCUUGAUUGUUUUAACUGUAACAUUCUUUCCUUUCUUCCAGUCAAUAGUGCACCCAUCACAAUCAACUAUUUCAGGUCCUUCAAAUGAAAACGGAUCUGUCUUGUCUGGCUCUGACUUCAUCUUGUAGGUUUUUGUCAGGACUGUAUUAGAAAAGUAGUCGUUGGGCCCAAAGUGGAACUCUAAUGAGAAAGACAUAGGCUGUCCAGGUUCAGAAAACUUCACUUUGAUAUCCUGUAGGUGUUUCAAGAUUGGUUCAUCAUAUUCUUGUACUAAUUCACUUAGCAUAUCUACAUUCCUAAAGAUAGUAAACCAGAAGUCUGGAAUUCCUUUGACAUUUAUCUCUUCUGCUUCCGCUUUUUCUUCUAUUACCACUACAUUUUUCAGGUCUCCUGCUAGCUUUUCCUCCUCCUCAUUUUCACUGUGCCAUUCUGACUCUGCAUCUGUAGGUUCUGCUUCUCCAUUAAUAAACUCUCUCCUCUUAUCAAAAAGAGGUUGAUAGAGUGCUGCAUAUUUUCUCUCUAAAUCAUGUACUUCUUCAUAAAAUUUAGCUUCUAUGUGGGCACAUUUCACCUGGAGUUGUUUCAAGGCAUCAAUUCUUCUUUUCACUGCUUUUGGUAAAGUUUCAAUGUAACUUGAAGGGGUAAGUGCUGUGUUGUCAAGCCGUUCCUGUAGAGCUGCCAGGACUUGUGGAUUCUGCAUCACCUGGUCUGCCAGCUUUUCUUUUUUGUCACUUGCAUUUUUAGCAGCCUCCACAGAAUCUGAAGCAGUAUCUUCUGCUUUACUAGAACUGUUAUCUGCCAUCUGCCUGCCUGUAUCCACUUUAAGACCGGUCUGUCUCUUCAAAGUUUUUCUUUCAGUCCCCCGCCGGCCGCCCGAACGCCGGAGCCACA